GAGCUUUAGGCCGAUAAUUCCUAAACCAAUUGGCUUUAGGAUAUCAGGUUUUAAACCCUAACAGACUUACUUGCUCGAGUCAUAAAGGUUUUUGAGAGAAGUGAUAAUUUUCCCAUGUUUAUUUUAUAGACAUUUGAUAUCAACAACCAUCCUCAAUUUAAAGCUUUCACCUAUUUCUCACCUUUUGGGUCUAGGCAAUCCACACAAUACAGAUUCAUGCACUGAGCCUCUACUUAUCUCCAUGUUUACUUAUAGUGGCUUAACCAUCUCCAAACUAUCCUAUGGUGAUUUAACGGGUUAAUGAUAUAGAGGGUUAACCUAGGUUUCUCAUGUUUUACUCCAACAAUCCUAUUCAAUAACUUAACAUGAAAACAUGAGUGGCGUGCAAAAGAAUGUCAAGCAUUGCAUCAAUAAGUAUCCGUUAAUUAAAUCCUGUACUAUAUUAACAGUUCUAUAUUUCACCUGUCCAAUAAUCACAUCAUAGCCGGCAAGGCUACCAAACCCACA
RNAcentral lists this long non-coding RNA (507 nucleotides) under Olea europaea (common olive). Its description in RNAcentral is "long non-coding RNA (OEUR_LNC013794)". Lineage: Eukaryota; Viridiplantae; Streptophyta; Magnoliopsida; Lamiales; Oleaceae. The record is from RNAcentral.